RNAcentral lists this ribosomal RNA (253 nucleotides) under uncultured bacterium. RNAcentral describes it as "partial 16S ribosomal RNA". It matches the Rfam family "Bacterial small subunit ribosomal RNA", at positions 524 to 776 of the family's 1533-position model. The record is from RNAcentral.
UACAGAGGUGGCAAGCGUUGUUCGGAAUUACUGGGCGUAAAGAGCGCGCAGGCGGUCGUGCAAGUCGCGUGUGAAAGCCCCCGGCUCAACUGGGGAGGGUCACGCGAUACUGUUCGACUCGAAGGCAGGAGAGGGAAGCGGAAUUCCCGGUGUAGUGGUGAAAUGCGUAGAUAUCGGGAGGAACACCAGUGGCGAAGGCGGCUUCCUGGCCUGUUCUUGACGCUGAGGCGCGAAAGCUAGGGUAGCAAACGGG